CUCGCCGUAAUGCUCAGUAACACGCGGAUAACCUGCCCUUGGGUCCGGGAUAACCCCGGGAAACUGGGACUAAUACCGGAUAGAUCAAAGAUACUGGAAUGUUCUCUGGUCCAAAACUCCGGUGCCCAAGGAUGGGUCUGCGGCCUAUCAGGUUGUAGUGGGUGUAACGUACCUACUAGCCGACGACGGGUAAGGGUUGUGAGAGCAAGAUCCCUGAGAUGGAUUCUGAGACAUGAAUCCAGGCCCUACGGGGUGCAGCAGGCGCGAAACCUUUACACUGCGGGAAACCGCGAUAAGGGGACCCCGAGUGCCAGCACCUAGCUGGCUGUCCCGCUGUCUAAAUAACAGUGGUUACAAGGGCCGGGCAAGACCGGUGCCAGCCGCCGCGGUAACACCGGCGGCCCGAGUGGUAGCCGCUAUUAUUGGGUUUAAAGGGCCCGUAGCCGGCCUAUUAAGUCUCUUGGGAAAUCUGGCGGCUUAAUCGUCAGGCGCCAAGAGAUACUGGUAGGCUUGGGACCGGGAGAGGUGGGAGGUACUCCAGGGGUAGGGGUGAAAUCUCGUAAUCCUUGGGGGACCACCGAUGGCGAAGGCAUCCCACCAGAACGGGUCCGACGGUGAGGGACGAAAGCUGGGGGCACGAACCGGAUUAGAUACCCGGGUAGUCCCAGCUGUAAACGAUGCUCGCUAGGUGUCAGGUGCGGUGCGACCGCAUCUGGUGCCGCAGUGAACUUGAAGCGAGUCACCUGGGNGUAAGUCGCGAGGA
This 763-nucleotide ribosomal RNA is filed under the name uncultured soil archaeon. RNAcentral's name for it is "bacterial SSU rRNA". It matches the Rfam family "Archaeal small subunit ribosomal RNA", at positions 77 to 849 of the family's 1478-position model. The record is from RNAcentral.